GACGAACGCUGGCGGCGUGCUUAACACAUGCAAGUGGAGCGACGAACCGGUCUUCGGACCGGGGCAGAGCCGCGAACGGGUGAGUAACACGUGGGUAACCCACCCCGAUGACCGGGACAACCCGAGGAAACUCGGGCUAAUACCGGAUGAGCUCUCAUCUUUUGAGAGAUGUGAGGAAAGGUAGCUUCGGCCUUCGCAUCGGGACGGGCCCGCGGCCCAUUAGCUUGUUGGUGGGGUAACGGCCUACCAAGGCGACGAUGGGUAGCUGGUCUGAGAGGACGAUCAGCCACACUGGGACUGAGACACGGCCCAGACUCCUACGGGAGGCAGCAGUGGGGAAUCUUGCACAAUGCGCG
This 356-nucleotide ribosomal RNA is filed under the name uncultured bacterium. RNAcentral describes it as "bacterial SSU rRNA". It matches the Rfam family "Bacterial small subunit ribosomal RNA", at positions 28 to 377 of the family's 1533-position model. The record is from RNAcentral.